Molecule: unclassified non-coding RNA, 357 nt
Filed under: Hevea brasiliensis (rubber tree)
Lineage: Eukaryota; Viridiplantae; Streptophyta; Magnoliopsida; Malpighiales; Euphorbiaceae
Source: RNAcentral
GUUGCCAAUAACAUUCCUCAAAGGGCUGAAUUUUGGCUCAUUUUUUGUUUGAAGUUUCAUGCUUGUUAUGUAUUAUUAUCGGUGAGUUGUGAGUUAAAAUUUCUGUGAUUAGAAGGUUGGAUCUUUUAAAAUUUCGGUGUUUAAAUGCUUUAAAUGGUAGUGAGCUGUUAGCUGUUUCUCAUUAAAUUUUGUAAUUGGUCACAUUUAUUUGGAUUUUUUUCUUCUUUUCAGUUUGACUAGUACUCUUUUGCUUAAUUUGUAAAUAUGAUUAAUUUCAUCCCUUAAAGUUCAAUCUAGUUGAACUAUUUCAAAUGCAAAUGUUCGUGUGUCGUGAUCUUGUUUGUGCCUAGAUUGUGC